RNAcentral lists this microRNA precursor (141 nucleotides) under Amborella trichopoda. Its description in RNAcentral is "miR390 stem-loop (atr-MIR390)". Its record names the gene atr-MIR390. The stretch from base 18 to 125 matches the Rfam family "MIR390 microRNA precursor family". The record is from miRBase by way of RNAcentral. Lineage: Eukaryota; Viridiplantae; Streptophyta; Magnoliopsida; Amborellales; Amborellaceae.
GUGAAAUCAAAGAAAGCGUUGAGAAUCGGUAAAGCUCAGGAGGGAUAGCGCCUCUUUUUAAUCUGCAUAUAUAACUCAGAUCAAUGUUGAGGCGCUAUCUAUCCUGAGUUUUACGGUUUCUCCUUGCUCUGUAACCUUCAU